RNAcentral lists this unclassified non-coding RNA (336 nucleotides) under soil metagenome. RNAcentral describes it as "partial contains 5.8S ribosomal RNA, internal transcribed spacer 2, and large subunit ribosomal RNA". The stretch from base 1 to 120 matches the Rfam family "5.8S ribosomal RNA", at positions 35 to 154 of the family's 154-position model. The record is from RNAcentral.
GAUGAAGAACGUAGCGAAAUGCGAUAAGUAAUGCGAAUUGCAGAAUUCAGUGAAUCAUCGAAUCUUUGAACGCACAUUGCGCCCGCCAGUAUUCUGGCGGGCAUGCCUGUUCGAGCGUCAUUUCAACCAUCAAGCCCCCGGCUUGUGUUGGGGACCUGCGGCUGCCGCAGGCCCUGAAAAGCAGUGGCGGGCUCGCUGUCACACCGAGCGUAGUAGCAUACAUCUCGCUCUGGGCGUGCUGCGGGUUCCGGCCGUUAAACCACCUUCAUAACCCAAGGUUGACCUCGGAUCAGGUAGGAAGACCCGCUGAACUUAAGCAUAUCAAUAAGCGGAGGA